RNAcentral lists this ribosomal RNA (253 nucleotides) under uncultured bacterium. Its description in RNAcentral is "partial 16S ribosomal RNA". It matches the Rfam family "Bacterial small subunit ribosomal RNA", at positions 524 to 776 of the family's 1533-position model. The record is from RNAcentral.
GACGUAGGGCGCAAGCGUUGUCCGGAUUUAUUGGGCGUAAAGAGCUCGUAGGCGGCUCGUUGCGUCGGCUGUGAAAACCCGCAGCUCAACUGUGGGCUUGCAGCCGAUACGGGCGGGCUGGAGUUCGGUAGGGGAGACUGGAAUUCCUGGUGUAGCGGUGAAAUGCGCAGAUAUCAGGAGGAACACCGGUGGCGAAGGCGGGUCUCUGGGCCACUACUGACGCUGAGAAGCGAAAGCGUGGGGAGCGAACAGG